UACAGGAGGGGCAAGCGUUAUUCGGAUUUAAUGGGCGUAAAGGGUGCGUAGGCGAUAAAUUUGAUUAAAUAUGAAAUCCCAAAGCUCAACUUUGGAAGAGUGUUUAAAAUCGGUUUAUUAGAGUUAGAUAGAGGUUUGUAGAAUUCUUAAAGUAAAGGUAAUAUUUUUCGAUAUUAGGAGGAAUACUAGUUGCGAAGGCGGCAUUCUGGAUCUAUACUGACGCUGAGGCACGAAAGCGUGGGGAGCAAACAGG
RNAcentral lists this ribosomal RNA (253 nucleotides) under uncultured bacterium. RNAcentral describes it as "partial 16S ribosomal RNA". It matches the Rfam family "Bacterial small subunit ribosomal RNA", at positions 524 to 776 of the family's 1533-position model. The record is from RNAcentral.